UACGUAGGCAGCGAGCGUUGUUUGGAGUUACUGGGCGUAAAGGGUGUGUAGGCGGUUUUCUAAGUUUGGUGUGAAAUCUCCCGGCUCAACCGGGAGGGUGCGCCGAAAACUGGGAGACUAGAGUGCGGGAUGGGAGAGUAGAAUUCCUGGUGUAGCGGUGAAAUGCGCAGAUAUCAGGAAGAACACCCGUGGCUAAGGCGGCUCUCUAGUACGGUACUGACGCUGAGACGCGAAAGCGUGGGGAGCGAACAGG
RNAcentral lists this ribosomal RNA (253 nucleotides) under uncultured bacterium. RNAcentral describes it as "partial 16S ribosomal RNA". It matches the Rfam family "Bacterial small subunit ribosomal RNA", at positions 524 to 776 of the family's 1533-position model. The record is from RNAcentral.